RNAcentral lists this ribosomal RNA (253 nucleotides) under uncultured bacterium. RNAcentral's name for it is "partial 16S ribosomal RNA". It matches the Rfam family "Bacterial small subunit ribosomal RNA", at positions 524 to 776 of the family's 1533-position model. The record is from RNAcentral.
GACGAACCGUGCGAACGUUGUUCGGAAUCACUGGGCUUAAAGGGCGCGUAGGCGGCUGAUCAAGUCAGGGGUGAAAUCUUUCGGCUCAACCGGAAAAGUGCCUUUGAUACUGGUCAGCUUGAGAGAGGUAGGGGCAUGUGGAACUUCCGGUGGAGCGGUGAAAUGCGUUGAUAUCGGAAGGAACGCCGGUGGCGAAAGCGACGUGCUGGCCCUCUUCUGACGCUGAGGCGCGAAAGCUAGGGGAGCGAACGGG